AACCCAUAAAACCAUUCUCAGUUCGGAUUGUAGUCUGCAACUCGACUACAUGAAGUUGGAAUCGCUAGUAAUCGCGAAUCAGCAUGUCGCGGUGAAUACGUUCUCGGGCCUUGUACACACCGCCCGUCACACCACGAGAGUUGAUAACACCCGAAGCCGGUGGCCUAACCGCAAGGAAGGAGCUGUCUAAGGUGGGAUUGAUGAUUGGGGUGAAGUCGUAACAAGGUAUCCCUACGGGAACGUGGGGAUGGAUCACCUCCUUU
RNAcentral lists this ribosomal RNA (263 nucleotides) under Thomasclavelia ramosa. RNAcentral's name for it is "partial 16S ribosomal RNA". It matches the Rfam family "Bacterial small subunit ribosomal RNA", at positions 1271 to 1533 of the family's 1533-position model. The record is from RNAcentral. RNAcentral also lists the same sequence under 1 other name. Lineage: Bacteria; Bacillati; Bacillota; Erysipelotrichia; Erysipelotrichales; Coprobacillaceae.